RNAcentral lists this ribosomal RNA (982 nucleotides) under Polistes fuscatus (common paper wasp). RNAcentral describes it as "SSU rRNA". It matches the Rfam family "Eukaryotic small subunit ribosomal RNA", at positions 395 to 1343 of the family's 1831-position model. The record is from RNAcentral. Lineage: Eukaryota; Metazoa; Arthropoda; Insecta; Hymenoptera; Vespidae.
CCUGAGAAACGGCUACCACAUCUAAGGAAGGCAGCAGGCGCGCAAAUUACCCACUCCCGGCACGGGGAGGUAGUGACGAAAAAUAACGAUACGGGACUCAUCCGAGGCCCCGUAAUCGGAAUGAGUACACUUUAAAUCCUUUAACAAGGAUCCAUUGGAGGGCAAGUCUGGUGCCAGCAGCCGCGGUAAUUCCAGCUCCAAUAGCGUAUAUUAAAGUUGUUGCGGUUAAAAAGCUCGUAGUUGAAUCUGUGUUUCACACUGUCGGUUCACCGCUCGCGGUGUUUACUGGCAUGAUGUGGGACGUCCUACCGGUGGGCUUAGCCCUUCGGGGCGGUCCAACUAAUAUCCCAUCGCGUGCUCUUCAUUGAGUGUCGAGAUGGGCCGGUACGUUUUACUUUGAACAAAUUAGAGUGCUUAAAGCAGGCUAGCCUCGCCUGAAUACUGUGUGCAUGGAAUAAUGGAAUAGGACCUCGGUUCUAUUUUGUUGGUUUUCGGAACACCGAGGUAAUGAUUAAUAGGGACAGAUGGGGGCAUUCGUAUUGCGACGUUAGAGGUGAAAUUCUUGGACCGUCGCAAGACGAACUGAAGCGAAAGCAUUUGCCAAAAAUGUUUUCAUUGAUCAAGAACGAAAGUUAGAGGUUCGAAGGCGAUCAGAUACCGCCCUAGUUCUAACCAUAAACGAUGCCAGCUAGCGAUCCGCCGAAGUUCCUCCGAUGACUCGGCGGGCAGCUUCCGGGAAACCAAAGCUUUUGGGUUCCGGGGGAAGUAUGGUUGCAAAGCUGAAACUUAAAGGAAUUGACGGAAGGGCACCACCAGGAGUGAGCUGCGGCUUAAUUUGACUCAACACGGGAAACCUCACCAGGCCCGGACACCGAAGAUUGACAGAUUGAUAGCUCUUUCUUGAUUCGGUGGGUGGUGGUGCAUGGCCGUUCUUAGUUGGUGGAGCGAUUUGUCUGGUUAAUUCCGAUAACGAACGAGACUC